AGCGUAAUAGCUCACUAGUCGAGUCGGCCUGCGCGGAAGAUGUAACGGGGCUAAAACUAUGUGCCGAAGCUGCGGAUUUGACAUUAGUCAAGUGGUAGGGGAGCGUUCUGUAAGCCGAUGAAGGUGUAUUGAGAAGUAUGNAUGCUGGAGGUAUCAGAAGUGCGAAUGCUGACGUGAGUAACGACAAAACGGGUGAAAAACCCGUUCGCCGAAAGACCAAGGGUUCCAGUCCAACGUUAAUCGGGGCUGGGUGAGUCGACCCCUAAGGCGAGGCCGAAAGGCGUAGUCGAUGGGAAAAUGGUUAAUAUUCCAUUACUUCUGUGUAAUGCGAUGAGAGGACGGAGAAGGCUAAAUCAGCCUGGCGUUGGUUGUCCAGGUGAAAGGAUGUAGGCAUGUAUCUUAGGCAAAUCCGGGGUACUCUAUGCUGAGAUCUGAUAGCAAGCUGUACUUGUACAGCGAAGUGGUUGAUGCCAUGCUUCCAGGAAAAGUCUCUAAGCUUCAGUUACACAGGAAUCGUACCCGAAACCGACACAGGUGGUCAGGUCGAGUAGACCAAGGCGCUUGAGAGAACUCUGCUGAAGGAACUAGGCAAAAUGGUACCGUAACUUCGGGAGAAGGUACGCUGUUGUUGGUGAUGGAACUCGCUUCCUGAGCUGACGACAGCCGCAGAAACCAGGCCGCUGCAACUGUUUAUUAAAAACAUAGCACUCUGCAAACACGAAAGUGGACGUAUAGGGUGUGAUGCCUGCCCGGUGCUGGAAGGUUAAUUGAUGGGGUUAGCGUAAGCGAAGCUCUUGAUCGAAGCCCCAGUAAACGGCGGCCGUAACUAUAACGGUCCUAAGGUAGCGAAAUUCCUUGUCGGGUAAGUUCCGACCUGCACGAAUGGCAUAAUGAUGGCGGCGCUGUCUCCAGCAGAGGCUCAGUGAAAUCGAAAUCGCUGUGAAGAUGCAGUGUACCCGCGGCUAGACGGAAAGACCCCGUGAACCUUUACUGCAGCUUGACACUGAACUUUGACCUUACUUGUGUAGGAUAGGUGGGAGGCUUUGAAGCUGGAACGCUAGUUCCAGUGGAGCCGUCCUUGAAAUACCACCCUGGUAAUGUUGAGGUUCUAACUCUGUCCCGUGAUCCGGGACGAGGACCGUGUCUGGUGGGUAGUUUGACUGGGGCGGUCUCCUCCUAAAGAGUAACGGAGGAGUACGAAGGUGCGCUCAGCGUGGUCGGAAAUCACGCGUAGAGUAUAAAGGCAAAAGCGCGCUUAACUGCGAGACCCACAAGUCGAGCAGGUACGAAAGUAGGUCUUAGUGAUCCGGUGGUUCUGUAUGGAAGGGCCAUCGCUCAACGGAUAAAAGGUACUCUGGGGAUAACAGGCUGAUACCGCCCAAGAGUUCAUAUCGACGGCGGUGUUUGGCACCUCGAUGUCGGCUCAUCUCAUCCUGGGGCUGAAGCAGGUCCCAAGGGUAUGGCUGUUCGCCAUUUAAAGAGGUACGCGAGCUGGGUUUAGAACGUCGUGAGACAGUUCGGUCCCUAUCUACCGUGGGCGCUGGAAAUUUGAGAGGAUCUGCUCCUAGUACGAGAGGACCAGAGUGGACGAACCUCUGGUGUACCGGUUGUGACGCCAGUCGCAUCGCCGGGUAGCUAUGUUCGGAAGGGAUAACCGCUGAAAGCAUCUAAGCGGGAAGCCUACCUCAAGAUAAGAUUUCCCUAGGACUUUAUGUCCUCUAAAGAGCCGUUCGAGACUAGGACGUUGAUAGGUUGGAUGUGGAAGCAUAGUGAUAUGUGAAGCUGACCAAUACUAAUUGCUCGUGAGGCUUGACUAUACAACACCCAAGCAGUUG
RNAcentral lists this ribosomal RNA (1835 nucleotides) under Acinetobacter baumannii. Its description in RNAcentral is "partial 23S ribosomal RNA". It matches the Rfam family "Bacterial large subunit ribosomal RNA", at positions 1131 to 2925 of the family's 2925-position model. Lineage: Bacteria; Pseudomonadati; Pseudomonadota; Gammaproteobacteria; Moraxellales; Moraxellaceae. The record is from RNAcentral.